AUUGAAACACCGAUUCCCAUACGAUCACCGAAGUUAAGCAACGUCGAUCCCGGUCAGUACUUAGAUGAGUGACCGCUUGGGAAUGCCAGUUGCUGUAAG
Molecule: non-coding RNA, 99 nt
Organism: Acanthosepion pharaonis
Lineage: Eukaryota; Metazoa; Mollusca; Cephalopoda; Sepiida; Sepiidae
Source: the annotation of a GenBank genome assembly